AACCAAUUGACUGGAGCAGUCCCUGAUUGGAUCCUGGAGAAAGCAGAAAAUGUUGAUUUAUCAUACAACUCCUUCACUGCUGGAGGCUCAGGAUGUCAAAAUCGAUCUGUGUAUCAACUUGUUCGCAAGCUUGGCGGUUGACAAUGCA
Molecule: long non-coding RNA, 148 nt
Organism: Eucalyptus grandis
Lineage: Eukaryota; Viridiplantae; Streptophyta; Magnoliopsida; Myrtales; Myrtaceae
Exons: 3
Source: RefSeq, a predicted model, not a curated record